GAUGAACGCUGGCGGCGUGCCUAAUACAUGCAAGUCGAGCGAACGGACGAGAAGCUUGCUUCUCUGAUGUUAGCGGCGGACGGGUGAGUAACACGUGGAUAACCUACCUAUAAGACUGGGAUAACUUCGGGAAACCGGAGCUAAUACCGGAUAAUAUUUUGAACCGCAUGGUUCAAAAGUGAAAGACGGUCCUGCUGUCACUUAUAGAUGGAUCCGCGCUGCAUUAGCUAGUUGGUAAGGUAACGGCUUACCAAGGCAACGAUGCAUAGCCGACCUGAGGGGGUGAUCGGCCACACUGGAACUGAGACACGGUCCAGACUCCUACGGGAGGCAGCAGUAGGGAAUCUUCCGCAAUGGGCGAAAGCCUGACGGAGCAACGCCGCGUGAGUGAUGAAGGUCUUCGGAUCGUAAAACUCUGUUAUUAGGGAAGAACAUAUGUGUAAGUAACUGUGCACAUCUUGACGGUACCUAAUCAGAAAGCCACGGCUAACUACGUG
This 497-nucleotide ribosomal RNA is filed under the name uncultured bacterium. RNAcentral's name for it is "partial 16S ribosomal RNA". It matches the Rfam family "Bacterial small subunit ribosomal RNA", at positions 28 to 507 of the family's 1533-position model. The record is from RNAcentral.